CUUUUGACAAAACUUCGAAGUAAAUAGUAUUCGUUAAAAAUGAAGAACAGUUAGUGAAGUAGAAGUAAAAGUGACUGACAUUCGUGAAAACCGUCGGGCACUAAGAAUGCAUAAGAUGACAGUUCCUGGUCGGUUCCUAGCUUUUUAUGAGAACGCGGCUUUUGAAAAUCAUAAUCUUUGGCUUCGUUGGAAAUUCUUUUGAUAUUUCUUUUCAAACUUUUUUUUUCGCGACUUGUUUACCGCUUCAUUUUGAUUGUGAUUUUUUUAUACUUGCGUAUCAACAUUUUCUUAAACCCAAAUUUUAAAAAUAGAAAUGUGCUAGCUUCCUUUGCAAAA
Molecule: long non-coding RNA, 336 nt
Organism: Bradysia coprophila
Lineage: Eukaryota; Metazoa; Arthropoda; Insecta; Diptera; Sciaridae
Source: RefSeq, a predicted model, not a curated record